CGCUGAACGGUGGGCGGCAGACCUCGAAAGCGCGUGAGGUGAAAGCCUCCGCGGGUUCGAAUCCCGCCGCCACCGCCA
This 78-nucleotide transfer RNA is filed under the name Microlunatus kandeliicorticis. RNAcentral describes it as "Friedmanniella endophytica tRNA-Phe". The record is from RNAcentral. Lineage: Bacteria; Bacillati; Actinomycetota; Actinomycetes; Propionibacteriales; Propionibacteriaceae.